AUGGCCGUCUGUCGGGGGUGCUUUGAAGGCGGUUCUCCUGCUUCUUGGCAGGAUGGGGAUGGGCUGGAUGGCCCACCAGGUCUCUCCCAACCCUGGGAUUCUAUAAUUCUAGGGGGCAAAGAAGGGGGCGAAUCUCUUCGAGGGCAUUUUUUGACGUCGGAAGGAGCUGUCCAGGGUCCCGAGUCUCUUUAUCUCUCUCCCUCUCUUCUGUUGACCUGGGGAGGGGCUUGGGAGCAGGGGAGGGGGCUGCAGGGGAGAGAAGGAGGUCAUUUCCCCUUCCUCUGCCCAGGCUCCGCCCCCUCCCCUCCCUCCCCUCCCCUCCCUUCUCUUCUCUUCCCUGCUGCCCCUCCCUCUUUUAGAGCCCGAGGGCGAGCCAGGCACGAGGGGACGCCCGACUCAGCGGCGGAGAAGGAGGAGAAGGAGAGGAAGAAGAGGAGGAAGAAGAGGAAGAGGAGGCGAGGGAGAAACAGCAGAAGCCCCCGCCCAGCCCAUCCCAGUCCAUCCCAGUCCAUCUCCGCCUUCACGCCUCGUUGGGAAGGAAGUGAACAUGGAAAGGACCCUCGUCUUCCUUUGGUCCCUGCUGGUCCCAGUGAUGCUGGCGGAUGUUGCCGACCAAGAAAAGGAGAAGGACCCCUUCAACUAUGGUGAGCCACACUGUCCUCCAGAGGGAAGGGUGUGGGGUGCUGGGCUUGCAGGGCUCUCUGCCACCUUCAUCCCUCACCCUUCUCUCUCUCAGACUACCAGGAC
This 747-nucleotide long non-coding RNA is filed under the name Anolis carolinensis (green anole). RNAcentral's name for it is "lncRNA (ENSACAG00000041757.1)". The record is from RNAcentral. Lineage: Eukaryota; Metazoa; Chordata; Lepidosauria; Squamata; Anolidae.